This 506-nucleotide ribosomal RNA is filed under the name uncultured Rothia sp. RNAcentral's name for it is "bacterial SSU rRNA". It matches the Rfam family "Bacterial small subunit ribosomal RNA", at positions 1 to 507 of the family's 1533-position model. Lineage: Bacteria; Bacillati; Actinomycetota; Actinomycetes; Micrococcales; Micrococcaceae. The record is from RNAcentral.
CGUAGCUACGAGAGUAGUUUGACUCCGUGGCUACAGGACGACGCUGGCGGCGUGCUUAACACAUGCAAGUCGAACGAUGAAGCCUAGCUUGCUAGGUGGAUUAGUGGCGAACGGGUGAGUAAUACGUGAGUAACCUACCUUUAACUCUGGGAUAAGCCUGGGAAACUGGGUCUAAUACCGGAUACGACCAAUCUCCGCAUGGGGUGUUGGUGGAAAGCGUUAUGUAGUGGUUAUAGAUGGGCUCACGGCCUAUCAGCUUGUUGGUGAGGUAACGGCUCACCAAGGCGACGACGGGUAGCCGGCCUGAGAGGGUGACCGGCCACACUGGGACUGAGACACGGCCCAGACUCCUACGGGAGGCAGCAGUGGGGAAUAUUGCACAAUGGGCGCAAGCCUGAUGCAGCGACGCCGCGUGAGGGAUGACGGCCUUCGGGUUGUAAACCUCUGUUAGCAGGGAAGAAGAGAGAUUGGCGGUACCUGCAGAGAAAGCGCCGGCUAACUACGUG